CCUACGGGUGGCAGCAGUGGGGAAUAUUGGGCAAUGGGCGCAAGCCUGACCCAGCAACGCCGCGUGAAGGAAGAAGGCUCUCGGGUUGUAAACUUCUUUUCUCAGGGACGAAGAAAGUGACGGUACCUGAGGAAUAAGCCACGGCUAACUACGUGCCAGCAGCCGCGGUAAUACGUAGGUGGCAAGCGUUAUCCGGAGUUACUGGGUGUAAAGGGCGUGUAGGCGGGACUGCAAGUCAGAUGUGAAAACCACGGGCUCAACCUGUGGCCUGCAUUUGAAACUGUGGUUCUUGAGUACUGGAGAGGCAGACGGAAUUCCUGGUGUAGCGGUGAAAUGCGUAGAUAUAAGGAGGAACACCAGUGGCGAAGGCGGUCUGCUGGACAGCAACUGACGGUGAGGCGCGAAAGCGUGGGGAGCGAACAGGAUUAGAUACCCGAGUAGUC
Molecule: ribosomal RNA, 443 nt
Filed under: uncultured bacterium
Lineage: Bacteria
Description: partial 16S ribosomal RNA
Rfam family: Bacterial small subunit ribosomal RNA
Source: RNAcentral